AAGUCGUAACAAGGUUUCCGUAGGUGAACCUGCGGAAGGAUCAUUAUCGAAUAGCUUAGGAUUUUGGAUUGUUGCUGGCCUCUUGUAGGCAUGUGCACAUCCUCUAUCCGAAACUUUUCUUCAACCACUGUGCACCUUUUGUGAGCCUUUGUGAAUACGGAUUGAGACUUGCGCCUAACACGCGCUUGACUCGUUAAAGUCGUUUUGCGGGGUUCACGUUUAUUACACACACACAAUGUAAACUUUAGAACGCAUGAAUAGAGUUGGGACUUGCGCCCUUCUUUAAAAUGUCUAUACAACUUUCAACAACGGAUCUCUUGGCUCUC
This 326-nucleotide unclassified non-coding RNA is filed under the name fungal sp. RNAcentral's name for it is "partial internal transcribed spacer region". The stretch from base 1 to 46 matches the Rfam family "Eukaryotic small subunit ribosomal RNA", at positions 1786 to 1831 of the family's 1831-position model. Lineage: Eukaryota; Fungi. The record is from RNAcentral.